This 875-nucleotide ribosomal RNA is filed under the name Escherichia coli. RNAcentral's name for it is "partial 23S ribosomal RNA". It matches the Rfam family "Bacterial large subunit ribosomal RNA", at positions 312 to 1191 of the family's 2925-position model. The record is from RNAcentral. Lineage: Bacteria; Pseudomonadati; Pseudomonadota; Gammaproteobacteria; Enterobacterales; Enterobacteriaceae.
CUGAAUCAGUGUGUGUGUUAGUGGAAGCGUCUGGAAAGGCGCGCGAUACAGGGUGACAGCCCCGUACACAAAAAUGCACAUGCUGUGAGCUCGAUGAGUAGGGCGGGACACGUGGUAUCCUGUCUGAAUAUGGGGGGACCAUCCUCCAAGGCUAAAUACUCCUGACUGACCGAUAGUGAACCAGUACCGUGAGGGAAAGGCGAAAAGAACCCCGGCGAGGGGAGUGAAAAAGAACCUGAAACCGUGUACGUACAAGCAGUGGGAGCACGCUUAGGCGUGUGACUGCGUACCUUUUGUAUAAUGGGUCAGCGACUUAUAUUCUGUAGCAAGGUUAACCGAAUAGGGGAGCCGAAGGGAAACCGAGUCUUAACUGGGCGUUAAGUUGCAGGGUAUAGACCCGAAACCCGGUGAUCUAGCCAUGGGCAGGUUGAAGGUUGGGUAACACUAACUGGAGGACCGAACCGACUAAUGUUGAAAAAUUAGCGGAUGACUUGUGGCUGGGGGUGAAAGGCCAAUCAAACCGGGAGAUAGCUGGUUCUCCCCGAAAGCUAUUUAGGUAGCGCCUCGUGAACUCAUCUCCGGGGGUAGAGCACUGUUUCGGCAAGGGGGUCAUCCCGACUUACCAACCCGAUGCAAACUGCGAAUACCGGAGAAUGUUAUCACGGGAGACACACGGCGGGUGCUAACGUCCGUCGUGAAGAGGGAAACAACCCAGACCGCCAGCUAAGGUCCCAAAGUCAUGGUUAAGUGGGAAACGAUGUGGGAAGGCCCAGACAGCCAGGAUGUUGGCUUAGAAGCAGCCAUCAUUUAAAGAAAGCGUAAUAGCUCACUGGUCGAGUCGGCCUGCGCGGAAGAUGUAACGGGGCUAAACCAUG